GAAACACGGACCAAGGAGUUCAACUGGAUUGCGAGUCGUAGAGUUUAUCACAAAACUCAUCUUAUAUAUUUAAUACGGCAUAGCGAAAGNGAAAUCGUGUGAUGUACUAUUUAACACUAGUACUGCAACACAGGCUGAUCAUGGAUAUACGUUGUGUCUUAGAUAGAGCGUAUACGUAAAUUUAUUACUCUGUUAAUUUAUUUACGAUUGGUUAAGCUAAAGAGCACUUUAGUUGAGACCCGAAAGAUGGUGAACUAUGCUCGGACAUGGUGAAGCCAGGUGAAAACUUGGUGGAAGCUUGCGUUGUGCGGAACUGACGUGCAAAUCGUUGCCGCCUGACCUGAGUAUAGGGGCGAAAGACUCAUCGAACCAUCUAGUAGCUGGUUCCCUCCGAAGUUUCCCUUAGGAUAGCUCGAAUUUAUAUCAUGAGUAACACAAGGGUAAAGCAAUGAGACGCGGUAUCUGUGGGUCUUAUUUAAAUGACCUCGGCCUUCUCUCAAACUUUAAAUCUGUGCGAGUACGCAUGCUUUCUUAGAAUAUAUAAGAAAUUUCGAUUUCUUAUGUAGUGAAGCUGCGCUCUAUUUAUAUUGUAUCAAAAAUUCGUAGUGGGCCAUUUCUGGUAAGCAGAACUGGCGAUGAGGGAUUCAACCUGACGUUCUCAAGAUAAGCCGGGCUUAAUCAUAUCUGCUCCAACCUUCCGAUAAACGCGA
Molecule: ribosomal RNA, 710 nt
Filed under: Foraminifera sp. 17248
Lineage: Eukaryota; Foraminifera
Description: eukaryotic LSU rRNA
Rfam family: Eukaryotic large subunit ribosomal RNA
Source: RNAcentral